AUUGAACGCUGGCGGCAUGCCUUACACAUGCAAGUCGAACGGCAGCACGGGAGCAAUCCUGGUGGCGAGUGGCGAACGGGUGAGUAAUAUAUCGGAACGUGCCCAAUCGUGGGGGAUAACGUAGCGAAAGCUACGCUAAUACCGCAUACGAUCUACGGAUGAAAGCGGGGGAUCGCAAGACCUCGCGCGAUUGGAGCGGCCGAUAUCAGAUUAGCUAGUUGGUGGGGUAAAGGCCCACCAAGGCGACGAUCUGUAGCUGGUCUGAGAGGACGACCAGCCACGCGGGAACUGAGACACGGUCCAGACUCCUACGGGAGGCAGCAGGGGGGAAUUUUGGAAAAUGGGCGCAAGCCUGAUCAAGAAAUGCCACGUGCAGGAUGAAGGCCUUCGGGUUGUAAACUGCUUUUGUACGGAGCGAAACGGUUUCCACUAAUACUGGGGGCUAAUGACGGUACCGUAAGAAUAAGCCCCGGCUAACCACGUGCCAGCCGCCGCGGUAA
RNAcentral lists this ribosomal RNA (500 nucleotides) under uncultured bacterium. Its description in RNAcentral is "partial 16S ribosomal RNA". It matches the Rfam family "Bacterial small subunit ribosomal RNA", at positions 29 to 523 of the family's 1533-position model. The record is from RNAcentral.